GUCCACGCCCUAAACGAUGCUAACUGGACGUUGGGAGCAAUUAGGCUCUCAGUGUCGAAGCUAACGCGUUAAGUUCGCCGCCUGGGGAGUACGGUCGCAAGACUGAAACUCAAAGGAAUUGACGGGGGCCCGCACAAGCGGUGGAGUAUGUUGUUUAAUUCGAUGCAACGCUCAGAACCUUACCUGGCCUUGACAUCCACGGAAUCCUUGAGAGAUCAGGGAGUGCCUUCGGGAACCGUGAGACAGGUGCUGCAUGGCUGUCGU
Molecule: ribosomal RNA, 264 nt
Filed under: uncultured bacterium
Lineage: Bacteria
Description: partial 16S ribosomal RNA
Rfam family: Bacterial small subunit ribosomal RNA
Source: RNAcentral